RNAcentral lists this long non-coding RNA (341 nucleotides) under Saimiri boliviensis boliviensis (Bolivian squirrel monkey). RNAcentral describes it as "lncRNA (ENSSBOG00000036498.1)". Lineage: Eukaryota; Metazoa; Chordata; Mammalia; Primates; Cebidae. The record is from RNAcentral.
AGAUUAUUCACCAGCUGUUGUUUCCUUCCUUUCAGCAGAGCUAUUGAAACGUUUGUAAAAUAGCAGAGGGUUCCAGAUGGGAGGAGCCAUUGUUCAAAGUCCAGACCACCCAGCGGGCAUGUCAGCCCACAACAUGACCUAUUCAUGUGUUUGCUUUUCAUGGACUCCUAAGAUUAUUCACAAUGGAAGAAACAAUGGCAGAGAAAGAUAACCAAGGACAGAAAUUACAUUCCUCCGUAGAAUCUUGUAAUGGUUUCCUGUUACUAAAGGACCAAGAAGAUAUUUACUCUUCUGGUAAAAUUUAAGCCAAGUCUGUCUUCUUUGCUUUUUCAUUUGGGGUC